Molecule: transfer RNA, 74 nt
Filed under: Mycobacteroides chelonae
Lineage: Bacteria; Bacillati; Actinomycetota; Actinomycetes; Mycobacteriales; Mycobacteriaceae
Also listed under: 7 other names
Description: tRNA-Ala
Rfam family: tRNA
About the family: Transfer RNA (tRNA) molecules are approximately 80 nucleotides in length. Their secondary structure includes four short double-helical elements and three loops (D, anti-codon, and T loops).
Source: RNAcentral
GGGGCCAUAGUUCAACGGUAGAACGGGGCCUUUGCAAGGCUCAGAUCGGGGUUCGAUUCCCCGUGGCUCCACCA